Athalia rosae (coleseed sawfly) is the source of this 950-nucleotide long non-coding RNA. RefSeq lists it as uncharacterized. Lineage: Eukaryota; Metazoa; Arthropoda; Insecta; Hymenoptera; Athaliidae. The transcript is spliced from 2 exons. The record is from RefSeq and is a predicted model, not a curated record.
CUUCGUUUCACGGGUAUCAGUUUUCGCCAAGAAAGAGUGAAGAAGACACGGAUGAAAUAAUUAACGUCAAAAAGUGCGUACAUCAUCGCCACUACGGCAAUCGCCGGAUAAAAGAAGCCCCCCAUUAUGGUGAACAAAAAAUUCAAAAUGGACGCUGAAUCGUCAACUCCUCAACUCCUCGACGCUAUAAAGUUUUCUUUUUGGAUUUGCCAAUAAUUUCCUUGACCAUAAGUAUUUCUGUGAUCCUCGCAAGGACUUUCAAACAAUAAAUUUUCAACUGCCAAUGAGUACUCGACCACUCACAGUGUUACCCGGUAUUCAUUAAAAAUCAGCUUGAGAUGGGUAUCGGCGUUCAAAAAUCAAACAAAUUUCAUUGGCAAAUUUUCAACUGGAUCGACACGAGCAUGGAUCAUGAUUACAUCCGUAAAGUAUAAAGACAAAACUUCACCGACACAGUUCGUAGUAAGAAGACCGCGAAGGGAAAAUCAGAAGAGCUAGAAAGUGGCAAGAACGCUCGUUAAAGAGCCUGUUAGAUGAUGACAUACCCGACGAAAAUCAAGGGAAAAGAAAUAAAAUAGAUGUGAAAAUAAAAUUAACACGAGCAUGAGGUCGAAACAAAAUGCAAAUGAAGAAGGUAUAAUAAUUAAUUCGACUCUAAUUUGCAUUAGAACAUCACAUGCGUAUAGAACAUUUAAAUUAAUUGAAAGUCUAUUUGAAUUGCCAAUAGUUUGAAACUUGACAGGUACAUGUCGGCUAGAAAAAUCUGCAAAUUUUCUUUCAGUUCCCCGAAACGAUGUUGGAUAUGGUACGAUGAUAUUGUACACCACCGAAGAUAUACGUUUAUCGAGGCUAAUUUCUAUCGUCAUAUCGUUUCUUCCACCGGUCGACAAUGAUUAUAAAGAUAUUAUCAAUUUAUUGUUGCAUUAUCGAAUUAAAUUAACAAUAUUCUA